RNAcentral lists this long non-coding RNA (515 nucleotides) under Brassica napus (rape). RNAcentral's name for it is "long non-coding RNA (BNAP_LNC025827)". Lineage: Eukaryota; Viridiplantae; Streptophyta; Magnoliopsida; Brassicales; Brassicaceae. The record is from RNAcentral.
UUUAAGUCUGGGGGGAGGUUUACUGAUAUUAGUUUAUUCAUGAAUUUUAAAAAUAUUUUCGAACAUAAAGUUUUUAUUGAGGCAAGAAAGAGAUAAUGAACUUAUUAGAUCUUUGCUUGUUAUCUAACCACUCUUUAGCAUCAUUCUAGAACUUAUUGAUUGCAGAUAGUACUAAAGAUACUAAAGUGGAUCAACCUGUCAACUAUGUUACACUUGCUGAGAUUGUUUGAAGGAACCAAAGCUGACCUCCAACCCUAAACUUGACACAACUGCUUGUCUUGGGGCUUGGUAUACAUGGGAUCGGAUUCUUCAAACAAGUCCGGAAGGUAAACCCUUGUGUAUAUAGAUUUAUCACCCUCUCUCUCUCUAUUUUCGAAAUAUAGAUAUUAAAAAAAAUAUUAUUAUAUAUAUAUAUAUAUAACUAUUAGAGAUUUAUUAGGAAGAGAUUCAAACAUGACUUGGUGGCUACAACCAUUAAGGCUUGCUUCAUACGAAUUCUAUAGGUAAAGGAUUAG